Molecule: transfer RNA, 70 nt
Filed under: Ictidomys tridecemlineatus (thirteen-lined ground squirrel)
Lineage: Eukaryota; Metazoa; Chordata; Mammalia; Rodentia; Sciuridae
Description: Spermophilus tridecemlineatus (thirteen-lined ground squirrel) tRNA
Rfam family: tRNA
About the family: Transfer RNA (tRNA) molecules are approximately 80 nucleotides in length. Their secondary structure includes four short double-helical elements and three loops (D, anti-codon, and T loops).
Source: Rfam by way of RNAcentral
UGGGAUGUAGCUCAGUGGUACAGCAUGUGCUUGGCACGCGCAAGGACCUGGGUUCAAUCCCAGUACCCAA